GGAGUUUGGUCCGUGUCUCAGUACCAAUGUGGGGGACCUUCCUCUCAGAACCCCUACUGAUCGUCGCCUUGGUGGGCCGUUACCCCGCCAACAAGCUAAUCAGACGCAUCCCCAUCCUAUAGCGGUGAACCUUUGGUGUUCGUCGGAUGUCCUCAAAACACAACAUAGAGCAUUAAUCCGAUUUUCACCGGGCUAUGCCCUACUGGGGGGAAGGUUGGAUACGCGUUACUCACCCGUGCGCCGGUCGCCAUCAGAGUUUGCAAGCAAACCCCAUGCUGCCCCUCGACUUGCAUGUGUUAAGCCUGUAGCUAGCGUUCAUC
Molecule: ribosomal RNA, 320 nt
Filed under: uncultured Prevotella sp.
Lineage: Bacteria; Pseudomonadati; Bacteroidota; Bacteroidia; Bacteroidales; Prevotellaceae
Description: partial 16S ribosomal RNA
Source: RNAcentral